CCUACGGGAGGCAGCAGUGAGGAAUAUUGGUCAAUGGACGAGAGUCUGAACCAGCAAAGUAGCGUGAAGGAUGACUGCCCUAUGGGUUGUAAACUUCUUUUAUAUGGGAAUAAAAUGUUCCACGUGUGGGAUUUUGUAUGUACCAUAUGAAUAAGGAUCGGCUAACUCCGUGCCAGCAGCCGCGGUAAUACGGAGGAUCCGAGCGUUAUCCGGAUUUAUUGGGUUUAAAGGGAGCGUAGGUGGAUUGUUAAGUCAGUUGUGAAAGUUUGCGGCUCAACCGUAAAAUUGCAGUUGAAACUGGCAGUCUUGAGUACAGUAGAGGUGGGCGGAAUUCGUGGUGUAGCGGUGAAAUGCUUAGAUAUCACGAAGAACUCCGAUUGCGAAGGCAGUUCACUGGACUGCAACUGACACUGAGGCUCGAAAGUGUGGGUAUCAAACAGGAUUAGAUACCCCAGUAGUC
RNAcentral lists this ribosomal RNA (460 nucleotides) under uncultured bacterium. RNAcentral describes it as "partial 16S ribosomal RNA". It matches the Rfam family "Bacterial small subunit ribosomal RNA", at positions 338 to 795 of the family's 1533-position model. The record is from RNAcentral.